UGGCGGACGGGUGAGUAACGCGUGGGGAACCUGCCCUGUACAGGGGGAUAACACUUAGAAAUAGGUGCUAAUACCGCAUAAGCGCACAGUAUCGCAUGAUACAGUGUGAAAAACUCCGGUGGUACAGGAUGGAACCCGCGUCUGAUUAGCUGGUUGGCGGGGUAACGGCCCACCAAGGCGACGAUCAGUAGCCGGCCUGAGAGGGUGAACGGCCACAUUGGGACUGAGACACGGCCCAAACUCCUACGGAAGGCAGCAG
RNAcentral lists this ribosomal RNA (259 nucleotides) under uncultured bacterium. RNAcentral describes it as "partial 16S ribosomal RNA". It matches the Rfam family "Bacterial small subunit ribosomal RNA", at positions 96 to 354 of the family's 1533-position model. The record is from RNAcentral.